Molecule: ribosomal RNA, 366 nt
Filed under: Triticum aestivum (bread wheat)
Lineage: Eukaryota; Viridiplantae; Streptophyta; Magnoliopsida; Poales; Poaceae
Description: partial small subunit ribosomal RNA
Source: RNAcentral
AUGAGAGGGCGUGCAAAGGGCAGGACGACCGUGAUGCAAGCUCGUGCACCCGCUGCGUUACCAUGGUGUGCGACGGCGGAGACCGGUGCCGGCUGGGGCAGCGAUGCAGGAAACGGCACACCUCGUUGCUGGAACCGGCCGACUGAAAAGCUGCAACCGGCAUCCGUUGAUGCUGGAACCAGUAAUCAUUUUUGCUACCACAGGCGUUUGGUUUUGCUGGAACCACCGCCAAAUUUGAAGGAAAACAGAGCACACUGCUCCUCCUUGAUGGCGCCCGCCCUUGUCGCUGACAGAGAUACCGUCCAAGAACUUGCCUCAGGCAUUGAACUGCUGCUGUAUAAAGACUGGUCAUUGUUCAGAUGCUAG